Molecule: ribosomal RNA, 274 nt
Filed under: uncultured bacterium
Lineage: Bacteria
Description: partial 16S ribosomal RNA
Rfam family: Bacterial small subunit ribosomal RNA
Source: RNAcentral
AUACGGAGGGUGCGAGCGUUAAUCGGAAUUACUGGGCGUAAAGGGUGCGUAGGCGGCUUGAUAAGUCGGAUGUGAAAGCCCCGGGCUUAACCUGGGAAUUGCAUUCGAUACUGUCAGGCUAGAGUAUGUCAGAGGUUGGCGGAAUUCCUGGUGUAGCGGUGAAAUGCGUAGAUAUCAGGAGGAACACCAGUGGCGAAGGCGGCUAACUGGGACAAUACUGACGCUGAGGCACGAAAGCGUGGGGAGCAAACAGGAGUAGAAACCCUAGUAGUCC